AAUGAACGCUGGCGGCGUGCCUAACACAUGCAAGUCGGAUGUGCCCGCAAGGGUGCAUGGCAGACGGGUGAGUAACGCGUGGGGAAUCUACCUUUUAGUGGGGAAUAACGCUCCGAAAGGAGUGGUAAUACCGCAUGUGACCAUUGGCUGGGAUGCUGAUGGUGAAACCCUGGGACCUUCGGGCCAGGGGCUAGAAGAGGAUCCUGCGUCUGAUUAGCUAGUUGGCGGGGUAACGGCCCACCAAGGCGACGAUCAGUAGCCGGCCUGAGAGGGUGAUCGGCCACACUGGAACUGAGACACGGUCCAGACUCCUACGGGAGGCAGCAGUGGGGAAUUUUGCGCAAUGGACGAAAGUCUGACGCAGCAACGCCGCGUGGGUGAUGAAGGUCUUCGGAUUGUAAACUCCUGUUAGGGGGGACGAAGGGAUGUCGGCAAACAGCCGGCAAACUUGACGGUACCCCCAGAGGAAGCCCCGGCUAACUCUGUGCCAGCAGCCGCGGUAA
This 503-nucleotide ribosomal RNA is filed under the name uncultured bacterium. RNAcentral describes it as "bacterial SSU rRNA". It matches the Rfam family "Bacterial small subunit ribosomal RNA", at positions 29 to 523 of the family's 1533-position model. The record is from RNAcentral.